UAAAAAGUAUGGCGCAGCUUGCAGAAAAAUAAGCGCACGGCGGGCAACUCGAAUCGGUAUCCAAAGCACGUGCCUGCUGCCCAUUAGCUGGUACCGAUCUUGGAAAAUGGAGGAUUGUAGAAAUUAUUUUACAGUAGCAGUAGCAUACUCUAUUUAUUUCGAUGUUUAGAUGGAGAAUAUCGCUACCAUAAAAAAGUGACUAGAAAAACUGUAUGUCACUGUUCAUAACAGACAAGUAAAAUUCGAGAUGGGACCUUAAGCUCGUGGGCCCAGGGGUGACAAUUUAAUCUUUUUGGAUGAUGACAUACAUUUAUAUACCCAGGCGGGAGGAGUGAGGAAGAGAAAUAUCCUGUGAUAAUAAUAACAGGAUCCACAACUCAUCUCCAGUCAAUACAUUAAUUUGUUAGUAACUUCUAAAAUACUAGUUCAAUUAUUGUUGCCUAUCAGUUGUUUUCUUAAUUAUGUAAUUUUUUAUUUUAUAGGCUAGUUAAAUUUGUAUGCCAUUUAAAAAAAUUAAGAUGAUUUCAAUAAUAAAUUUGAAACAUUAGCAUAAACUAAAGAAAUGGAUAUAUUUGUAAAUACUCUAAAUAAUACAAUAACACAAUAACGUUUUAAUAAAUUAAUCUUCCCAUUUUAAUUAAUGUUUUGCUCUUGUAUAAUAAAUGUAAUAACAUUUUUAAUCGCUUAAAAUAAAUAUCCCUAAUACAAACAUAUUAAGUUUCUAAUUAAUAAAAUAUUUAUUAGAAUUUCACAUGAAUUUACUAUAUAGGUGUUCGGGAAGUAAGAAAACAGAUUUCUUUGACCUGUUUCCUAACAAAUUAGAAAUUUAUUGACAAAUUAUAGAAUUAAAAUACUUAUUCUUUAAUAAUAAAUUUAUCUUCUUCAUUAGGUUGGACAAAUUAAAUUAAAAAACAAAAAGAAAGCAAAAACGGAUGAAAUAGUUAUUGAAUUUGGGAAAUUUUAUAUUUCUAUACUAAUUUUUAUUUAAGAUAAAAAAAAAAAUACGGAAAUAAUUCUUUGUAACUUGUUAGUUUUAUAGGGAAAUAUUCAUAAAAACUUAAAAUUUAAUAUUU
Molecule: long non-coding RNA, 1073 nt
Organism: Daktulosphaira vitifoliae (grape phylloxera)
Lineage: Eukaryota; Metazoa; Arthropoda; Insecta; Hemiptera; Phylloxeridae
Exons: 3
Source: RefSeq, a predicted model, not a curated record